UGGGCCUUUGGCUUCCUGUCACACAGCCGUGCGACAAGGGGCAGGUUUCUGAAGGACCAGAGAGAAAAGGGGUCUGUUGUUCUCGGGGGCACAGGCUUGCUGGUGGCAUCCCGCACAGACACUCUCUCCUCACAGCUCCCACCACGGGGACUGGAGGCAGGAGGAGCCGACGGGCCCCUGGAACGGCCGCGGUGCGUCCAGAGGUGGGAGCCGCAAGCCCGAGGAUCGGCCGAGUCCCAGGGGACCCUAACGGAGGCCGGGCUGGAAGGCCAAGGUGGCUGCCACGUGGGAAGGUAUCCUUGACGUCCAGACCCUGGAGAAGGAGUCGGGAGCCACCACCCAAAGCAACUGUCCAGGAAAAGUGGUCGCGCUUCAGCCAUCGCGCUGGGCUAGGUCUUCCAAGCGAACCCCCUGUUGGAGCCUCUGCCGUCUAACGUCACCUAAUGUAGCCGAACCUGCCAAGACCCUGGCUACUUCACUGGAACCCAGACCAGGGCGAUCCCCGAGUGUUGCGAGCCCACCUUCCUCUUCCUCGACGGUGGCUCCAGCCCCUUCAUGUCGCCUCCAAGCUCCUGCCCAAGUGUUCCCACCCGCACUGCUGGGAGCAGCUCCUCUGUGUUUUCAGGGCCACUUUGCUGUCGUCCUUUGAAGGUUCUCUUGGCGACUCUAGGAAGACUCCGUGGUACAGGUGACCUUCUGUAUCUGUGGAGGAUCGGUUCCCAGAUACCCCCGCCCACGGAUCCCAAAAUCCCAGGAGCCAAGCCUUGUCUAAAGUGCCGGAGUGCAGCCUGGCCUCCAGAACGCGUGAGAACAGAGCAGCCGUACUCUGUUUCCAACGAACCGAUGGCCAAAGCCCCGCUGUGCGUGUUCUCUAUGGACUGAACAGCCAGUGGCCCUGUAGCAGUGAAGCCUCACACCGUCCUCCAGGCUGGAAGGGACCCUUGAGUCACAGAACUUGCCAGUUUGCAAACAUGUCUCUAGUUGUAACAACUUUCAUCUGUCAAAUGAGGGCUCUUCAUUUCUAAGGUUCUAGAAGCCGGCCGUGGUCAUAUAGUCCCUCAGCUGGGUGUACUGAAAUCUGGGCCAGAGGCACAGCUUCCUCGCUAAGACACCCCCCCACCCCAGCACCCUGCACACACACACAGGCAGAGGCCAAGCUGCCUGCCUCCCCGCACCCCCUAGAAUGCUAACCACUGGGGACCGAGGGGUAGUUCCUACCUUUUAUAUCCUUACAUACUGAAUCUGGCGCUGGCUCCUGGGCUGCAUCUUCUUAACUGCAAACACUCUAUACCAUCCCUCUCUGGUUCCACCAGCCACCACCCUCCUUCCGUGUCCUCCUCUGAACGUGCCUGAUAAAGGCUUUUGAGUGACUGAAUGAGUGGACGGCUCCCAUCUUCUGUCAUCUCAAUGAGUGCUGCUCCCCAGCUGACUGGAACCAGACGCCCUAGUUCCCAGGCUGGGUUUCCCUCCAGAUGUGUUCUCCUGCGGUGUCGGUUCCACCGUUAAACAGCUGUAUCGCUCAGCAGGUACGCAACGUUGAUGCGCCUCCAUUUCCUCCUCUGCAGAAUUGUGGGCGUUCCUGUCGUGGCUCAGCAGAAUCCGGCUUGUAUCCACGAGGAUGCGGGUUCUAUCCCUGGCCUCGCUCGGUGAAUCUGGGAUCCAGCCUUGCCGUGAGCUGUGGUGUAGGCCGGAAGCUGUAGCUCCAAUUUGACCCCUAGCCUGGAAACUUCCAUAUGCUGAGGGUUCGGCCUUAAAAACAACAACAACAACAAAAUAGUACUUACGUCAUAGGGUUGCUGUCAGCAUUAAAUGAGAGAGUCUGUUAAAAACGCCGAGAACAUUGCCUGGCAAUAUACAUUGCAGAAUACUCAAUAAAUAUUAGCUGGUGUUAUUUCAUACUUCAUCAAAC
RNAcentral lists this long non-coding RNA (1909 nucleotides) under Sus scrofa (pig). RNAcentral's name for it is "lncRNA (ENSSSCG00025006805.1, ENSSSCG00160002741.1, ENSSSCG00170004643.1, ENSSSCG00175023146.1)". Lineage: Eukaryota; Metazoa; Chordata; Mammalia; Artiodactyla; Suidae. The record is from RNAcentral.